UCCGGGGAACUCGAGAUAUGGUUUGGGCAGCGGAGGAGACUCAUUUCUAACCUUAGCUGCUUUUGAUUAAAUUAUAUCCCAGCGAGAGGCCCCUCACUGGACAAGGCAGGUCGCCAUGGUCUCCCUGCAGCCCCCCAGCAGGCACGUCUUUGGACCCCGGUUCCUGCUGCUUCGAGCACUCUCACCAGUGUCAGAUCACAGCUAACAUUUGUGUCCACAGAUCUAAGAAAGCCGCUAAGAUGCCGCUUCUGUGAUGAGGGCUCAGCCUGGCUUCCCAUCGUCCCGGCGGCCUGGGAUGCACCACUUAGCACAGUUAGGUUCAUGCAGAUAAACUCAUGGACCCCCUCCUCUCCAGCAAUGAUUUGCUGCUUCACCAGCACCGUCAGGAGGCUGAGAACCCGUGUGAAGCGUAGGUGGGAGCGGACUGAGCUGGAAGAAAGUGACAGUGGCUUCCAGAGGGAGGAGAGAGCAUGCUGAGGCCACCAGGCAGCCAAGGGCGCUUCUUCCCACCUCUGGGAGUGGAGGCUGAGUGCCGAGAAAGGGGGCUCAUCAAGACCCCUGACUCCCUGCACAGAGACGUACAGCAGCCUCCGGGCCUCCCAGGACUGGAGCUGGGGUUUUGGAGCAAGUGCAGGGCCCUCCCUCCACCAACGAGCCAGUUUCCUGAGAGUCGGGACAGGAAGGAAUCUCAGGAACGUCACAUGUGAGGACCCCAUUCUGCAGAUUGGAAAGCAGACAGAGGCCCGCAGGAGGAGAGCCUGGCCCAGGAAUUCUGGACUCUCCACAUCUGUGAGUCUCCCCGCAAGAGACAUGGCCAGGCAUCUCUCAACAUCCUGGUUUCAUGUUUCAGUCCUAAAGGUUUCUUAUUACCUCUCUCCCUGCUCUGCACAUCAGCGGAAAUCAGGUUAGGAUCGCUUCUGUCACCCUC
This is a long non-coding RNA of Felis catus (domestic cat), 928 nucleotides long. RefSeq lists it as uncharacterized. The transcript has 2 exons. The record is from RefSeq and is a predicted model, not a curated record. Lineage: Eukaryota; Metazoa; Chordata; Mammalia; Carnivora; Felidae.